RNAcentral lists this ribosomal RNA (267 nucleotides) under uncultured bacterium. Its description in RNAcentral is "partial 16S ribosomal RNA". The record is from RNAcentral.
CUGCUGCCUCCCGUAGGAGUUUGGGCCGUGUCUCAGUCCCAAUGUGGCCGUUCACCCUCUCAGGCCGGCUACUGAUCGUCGCCUUGGUGGGCCGUUACCCCUCCAACCAGCUAAUCAGACGCGGGUCCAUCCUGUACCACCGGAGUUUUUCACACUGUACCAUGCGGUACUGUGCGCUUAUGCGGUUUUAGCACCUAUUUCUAAGUGUUAUCCCCCAGUGUAAGGCAGGUUACCCACGCGUUACUCACCCGUCGCCACUAAGAUUUA